This 1556-nucleotide ribosomal RNA is filed under the name Escherichia coli. RNAcentral's name for it is "bacterial SSU rRNA". It matches the Rfam family "Bacterial small subunit ribosomal RNA". Lineage: Bacteria; Pseudomonadati; Pseudomonadota; Gammaproteobacteria; Enterobacterales; Enterobacteriaceae. The record is from RNAcentral.
UUAAAUUGAAGAGUUUGAUCAUGGCUCAGAUUGAACGCUGGCGGCAGGCCUAACACAUGCAAGUCGAACGGUAACAGGAAGAAGCUUGCUUCUUUGCUGACGAGUGGCGGACGGGUGAGUAAUGUCUGGGAAACUGCCUGAUGGAGGGGGAUAACUACUGGAAACGGUAGCUAAUACCGCAUAACGUCGCAAGACCAAAGAGGGGGACCUUCGGGCCUCUUGCCAUCGGAUGUGCCCAGAUGGGAUUAGCUUGUUGGUGGGGUAACGGCUCACCAAGGCGACGAUCCCUAGCUGGUCUGAGAGGAUGACCAGCCACACUGGAACUGAGACACGGUCCAGACUCCUACGGGAGGCAGCAGUGGGGAAUAUUGCACAAUGGGCGCAAGCCUGAUGCAGCCAUGCCGCGUGUAUGAAGAAGGCCUUCGGGUUGUAAAGUACUUUCAGCGGGGAGGAAGGGAGUAAAGUUAAUACCUUUACUCAUUGACGUUACCCGCAGAAGAAGCACCGGCUAACUCCGUGCCAGCAGCCGCGGUAAUACGGAGGGUGCAAGCGUUAAUCGGAAUUACUGGGCGUAAAGCGCACGCAGGCGGUUUGUUAAGUCAGAUGUGAAAUCCCCGGGCUCAACCUGGGAACUGCAUCUGAUACUGGCAAGCUUGAGUCUCGUAGAGGGGGGUAGAAUUCCAGGUGUAGCGGUGAAAUGCGUAGAGAUCUGGAGGAAUACCGGUGGCGAAGGCGGCCCCCUGGACGAAGACUGACGCUCAGGUGCGAAAGCGUGGGGAGCAAACAGGAUUAGAUACCCUGGUAGUCCACGCCGUAAACGAUGUCGACUUGGAGGUUGUGCCCUUGAGGCGUGGCUUCCGGAGCUAACGCGUUAAGUCGACCGCCUGGGGAGUACGGCCGCAAGGUUAAAACUCAAAUGAAUUGACGGGGGCCCGCACAAGCGGUGGAGCAUGUGGUUUAAUUCGAUGCAACGCGAAGAACCUUACCUGGUCUUGACAUCCACAGAACUUUCCAGAGAUGGAUUGGUGCCUUCGGGAACUGUGAGACAGGUGCUGCAUGGCUGUCGUCAGCUCGUGUUGUGAAAUGUUGGGUUAAGUCCCGCAACGAGCGCAACCCUUAUCCUUUGUUGCCAGCGGUCCGGCCGGGAACUCAAAGGAGACUGCCAGUGAUAAACUGGAGGAAGGUGGGGAUGACGUCAAGUCAUCAUGGCCCUUACGACCAGGGCUACACACGUGCUACAAUGGCGCAUACAAAGAGAAGCGACCUCGCGAGAGCAAGCGGACCUCAUAAAGUGCGUCGUAGUCCGGAUUGGAGUCUGCAACUCGACUCCAUGAAGUCGGAAUCGCUAGUAAUCGUGGAUCAGAAUGCCACGGUGAAUACGUUCCCGGGCCUUGUACACACCGCCCGUCACACCAUGGGAGUGGGUUGCAAAAGAAGUAGGUAGCUUAACCUUCGGGAGGGCGCUUACCACUUUGUGAUUCAUGACUGGGGUGAAGUCGUAACAAGGUAACCGUAGGGGAACCUGCGGUUGGAUCACCUCCUUACCUUAAAGAAGC